This 883-nucleotide ribosomal RNA is filed under the name Pyronema omphalodes. Its description in RNAcentral is "eukaryotic LSU rRNA". It matches the Rfam family "Eukaryotic large subunit ribosomal RNA", at positions 66 to 966 of the family's 3401-position model. Lineage: Eukaryota; Fungi; Ascomycota; Pezizomycetes; Pezizales; Pyronemataceae. The record is from RNAcentral.
CAACAGGGAUUGCCUCAGUAACUGCGAGUGAAGCGGCAAAAGCUCAAAUUUGAAAUCUGGCGCCUUCGGCGUCCGAGUUGUAAUUUGGAGAGGCAUCUUCGGAUAUGGCGCCGUCCUAAGUUCCUUGGAACAGGACGUCACAGAGGGUGAGAAUCCCGUGCCUGGUCGGCUGUCCAUAUCCAUGUGAAGUGUCUUCGACGAGUCGAGUUGUUUGGGAAUGCAGCUCAAAAUGGGUGGUAAAUUUCAUCUAAAGCUAAAUAUUGGCGAGAGACCGAUAGCGCACAAGUAGAGUGAUCGAAAGAUGAAAAGAACUUUGAAAAGAGAGUUAAAAAGUACGUGAAAUUGUUGAAAGGGAAGCGCUUGAGACCCCACUCGAUCUUUGGUGAUCAGCUAGGCUUCUGUCUGGUGCACUUGCCAUUGAUUGGGCCAGCAUCGGUUCUGACGGCGGGAUAAAAGGCAGAGGAAUGUGGCUCUCUUCGGGGAGUGUUAUAGCCUCAGUCAUAAUGCCGCCAGUUGGGACCGAGGACCGCGCUUCGGCUAGGAUGCUGGCAUAAAGGUCUUAAGCGACCCGUCUUGAAACACGGACCAAGGAGUCUAACAUCUAUGCGAGUGUUCGGGUGGAAAACCCUUGCGCGUAAUGAAAGUGAACGGAGGUGGGAACUCUUCGGAGUGCACCAUCGACCGAUCCUGAUGUUUUCGGAAGGAUUUGAGUAAGAGCAUAGCUGUUGGGACCCGAAAGAUGGUGAACUAUGCCUGAAUAGGGUGAAGCCAGAGGAAACUCUGGUGGAGGCUCGCAGCGGUUCUGACGUGCAAAUCGAUCGUCAAAUUUGGGUAUAGGGGCGAAAGACUAAUCGAACCAUCUAGUAGCUGGUUCCUGCCGAAG